Phacochoerus africanus (Common warthog) is the source of this 854-nucleotide long non-coding RNA. RefSeq lists it as uncharacterized. NCBI's taxonomy places the organism in Eukaryota, Metazoa, Chordata, Mammalia, Artiodactyla, Suidae. The record is from RefSeq and is a predicted model, not a curated record. The transcript is spliced from 2 exons.
CCGGCCGCUGAUUGGGUUGGCCUGGUAAAGGCCUUCAGCUCAGGCCGGCUGGGCGCCGAGAGGAGGGUGGACCGAAGGAAGCUGCUUUAAUGGCUAGGCCUACUUGGUACCAGACUCUUGGUUGGAAAGGACCUUGAAGACCAUGCCGUUCAACUUCCAGUUUGCAGAUGUGGAAACUGAAGGCCAGAGAGGGUAUGCGACUUGUCCAAGGUUACUCAGCCAGUUAGUGGCCUGGUUGGGACUGGACUCAAGCACUCCAGACUACCGUGGCUUUUACACGCAGCACCUCCAAGGAGGUGAAUGCAAAAGCAGUCCCUUUGGACAUAUGCAUAGUUUGAGGCCUGUGCUGUUGUGAGACGUAACACGUGGGGUGGACACUUGGAUUCCCCUUAAACCCUCAUCCGUAAGCUCUCGGGUACUUGAAGGAAUAGAAAUGUUUCACCCUGGAAGGUACCUUUUCUAUAAAGGCACAACCGUGUACCAGAGAAAAUGUGUGUACAGCCCUAAAAGAUCGCCUUUUUUUAGUUAUAAGCCCUGAGACAAACUAAUGAAAGCCUUUCCUUAGCAAAAUGUGCAUAAGGAAAAUGUGCAUACAAUUUCUGGACUUUCCUUUAGAUUGGGAAUGGGCUCCAGGUGAAGAAGUUGCUGAAUGGUUACAUUUUCACCAUAUUGACCUAGGGUUAAUAGAAUGUAGCUAGCUUACAGAUCUCUUCUCUACACUAGCUCGAGCUUCUGAAAUAAUUGCCCUACUCUCGCCAUACUGGGAAAACCUAAGAGCAACUCUGGCCUUGCUAAGAAGUUCCAACUAAAAAUUAGGAAAGGCUGGCCAGCUACCUUUAAUCCUUGAAAGAAAA